UGCAGAGGGUGCGAGCGUUAAUCGGAAUUACUGGGCGUAAAGCGUGCGUAGACGGCUAUCUAAGUCGGGUGUGAAAGCCCCGGGCUCAACCUGGGAAUUGCAUUCGAGACUGAAUAGCUAGGGUACGGUAGAGGGAAGCGGAAUUUCCGGUGUAGCGGUGAAAUGCGUAGAUAUCGGGAGGAACACCCGUGGCGAAGGCGGCCACCUGGGCCGACCCUGACGCUGAGGCGCGAAGGCGUGGGGAGCGAACGGG
This 253-nucleotide ribosomal RNA is filed under the name uncultured bacterium. Its description in RNAcentral is "partial 16S ribosomal RNA". It matches the Rfam family "Bacterial small subunit ribosomal RNA", at positions 524 to 776 of the family's 1533-position model. The record is from RNAcentral.